RNAcentral lists this unclassified non-coding RNA (359 nucleotides) under Hevea brasiliensis (rubber tree). The record is from RNAcentral. Lineage: Eukaryota; Viridiplantae; Streptophyta; Magnoliopsida; Malpighiales; Euphorbiaceae.
GUCCUGGUAUUCCCCAAAGAAUCCUAAAAGUUGGUUUCAACUUCAUUUCAUCGAACUCCAUACAUGCAUUUUCAAAUGCAUGAUUGCUGUAUUUAAGGGUUUUAAGUUCUCCAUGAUGUGUUGUAGCUAUAGUCAACAAAGUCCCAGAUUCUGCAAAAGAUUCCAGUAAUGACAUCCCAAGUGCAGCUCCUUCUAGAGGAUUUGUCCCUGCCCCUACUUCAUCUAAUAGCACGAGUGACAUGUCUGUUGAGUGAGACCGGAUUUUACUAAUUUGUUUCAGAUGGCCCGAGAAGGUAGACAGUGAUUGGGAUAAGGACUGUUCAUCACCAAUAUCAGCAAAUACAAAAUCAAACCAAGGG